GUAACAAGGUUUCCGUAGGUGAACCUGCGGAAGGAUCAUUACCGAGUGAGGGCGCUCGCGCCCAACCUCCCACCCGUGUUUACGUGACCGUGUUGCUUCGGCGGGCCGCCCUUCGGGGCGCCCCGGGGGCGUCUGCCCCUGGAACGUGCCCGCCGGAGGCCACUUGAACCCUGCAUGAUAGUGUUGUCUGAGUGAUUGUCUUGCAAUCAGUUAAAACUUUCAACAAUGGAUCUCUUGGUUCCGGCAUCGAUGAAGAACGCAGCGAAAUGCGAUAACUAAUGUGAAUUGCAGAAUUCCGUGAAUCAUCGAGUCUUUGAACGCACAUUGCGCCCCCUGGUAUUCCGGGGGGCAUGCCUGUCCGAGCGUCAUUGCUGCCCCUCAAGCCCGGCUUGUUAUUGGGUCGUCGUCCCCUCUCCGGGGGGGACGGGCCCUAAAGGCAGCGGCGGCACCGCGUCCGGUCCUCGAGCGUAUGGGGCUCUGUCACCCGCUCGUGAGGGACCGGCCGGCGCCGGCCACGCUACACAACCACAUUUUCUCAGGUUGACCUCGGAUCAGGUAGGGAUACCCGCUGAACCUAAGCAUAUC
RNAcentral lists this unclassified non-coding RNA (585 nucleotides) under Aspergillus avenaceus. RNAcentral's name for it is "sequence contains 18S rRNA gene, ITS1, 5.8S rRNA gene, ITS2, 28S rRNA gene". The stretch from base 215 to 368 matches the Rfam family "5.8S ribosomal RNA". Lineage: Eukaryota; Fungi; Ascomycota; Eurotiomycetes; Eurotiales; Aspergillaceae. The record is from RNAcentral.